Solanum pennellii is the source of this 1227-nucleotide RNA transcript. It is a transcript of the gene named cytochrome f-like, with no coding region annotated. The record is from RefSeq and is a predicted model, not a curated record. The transcript has 2 exons. Lineage: Eukaryota; Viridiplantae; Streptophyta; Magnoliopsida; Solanales; Solanaceae.
AUGGGGUUCCAAUCCAAAACUCAGCGUUUGAGCGAGAACUAAAGAGAGAAUAAAAAAUCUGGGCGUAUUGUAUGUGCCAAUUGCCAUUUAGCUAAUAAGCCCGUGGAAAUUGAGGUUCCACAAGCGGUACUUCCUGAUACUGUAUUUGAAGCAGUUGUUCGAAUUCCUUAUGAUAUGCAACUGAAACAGGUUCUUGCUAAUGGUAAAAAAGGGGGGUUGAACGUCGGAGCUGUUCUUAUUUUACCGGAGGGGUUUGAAUUAGCUCCUCCCGAUCGUAUUUCUCCUGAGAUGAAAGAAAAGAUUGGCAAUUUGUCUUUUCAGAGCUAUCGCCCCAAUAAAACAAAUAUUCUUGUGGUAGGCCCUGUCCCUGGUAAAAAAUAUAGUGAAAUAACCUUCCCUAUUCUUUCCCCGGACCCUGCUACUAAGAAGGAUGUUCACUUCUUAAAAUAUCCUAUAUACGUAGGCGGGAACAGGGGAAGGGGUCAGAUUUAUCCCGACGGCAACAAGAGUAACAAUACAGUUUAUAAUGCUACAGCAGCAGGUAUAGUAAGCAAAAUCAUACGAAAAGAAAAAGGGGGGUAUGAGAUAACCAUAACGGAUGCGUCGGAGGGACGUCAAGUGGUUGAUAUUAUCCCUCCCGGACCAGAACUUCUUGUUUCCGAGGGCGAAUCUAUCAAAUUUGAUCAACCAUUAACGAGUAAUCCUAAUGUAGGCGGAUUUGGUCAGGGAGAUGCAGAAAUAGUACUUCAAGAUCCAUUACGUGUCCAAGGACUUUUGUUCUUCUUGGCAUCUGUUAUUUUGGCACAAAUCUUUUUGGUUCUUAAAAAGAAACAGUUCGAGAAGGUUCAAUUGGCCGAAAUGAAUUUCUAGAUUCGCAGAUUUAUCGAUAUCAAGUACGUAAAAAGAACCAAAUUCUUGUUGGCGAUUAUUUAUGAUCAAAAAAAUGAAAUUAUGAAAACUCCUUUGUCUUAUUUAUACUCUUCUUCAAAAUCUACAUUACAUACUCUUUUUCUACGAGAUGCUGGGAAUCCCUUGUACCACAUAGUAUGUAGAUUUUGAAGAAGAGUAUUUGGCUUUCAUUUAUUUUGAUUUAGUUUUUUUUUAAUUGGAGUAGUGUAACUAUGUUACUAUUGCCAGAUUUCACUGCCAUAAAACGUAUCAAUAGUUUUCUAUUCUAAAUAGAAAGAAAGUCAAAUUUGUCUAAAUACUAGACAUAAGGAAGCGGGG